UGUGAAGUGUGUGAAGUUUCCAAAAUGUGCAGCUGUGUUUUGUGGAGAGGCCAGCAGAUGGCACAGGAAUUCAUACGAGAGAAUUUCCGACUGUCUAGAAGAUGCAUCCUCCUCAUCAGAGGGCACAGUGCAGUGCUUGCAUGGCUCUCUGUCUUGUCUGCAGCCAAAAGCAAGCUGAAGAAGAGGAAUAUCUCCAACAUCUCCCUAUGCCCAAUCUGUGGAUGUUGUCUGCACAAGGCUUUUGGUGAUGGAGGGAAAACCAAGGAGCCUKUAGAGAAUGUAUGAAGUUCGUCAGCACAGCCAUACUGAUUUGUUUCAGAGGAAACCUCUUCUUUCACAGAGAAGAUAGAAGAAUACCAGCAUGGCACACAUACUUUGGUAAGUCACAAAGUAGAUCUAAAUACCUAGAAACCAUGUC
RNAcentral lists this long non-coding RNA (418 nucleotides) under Dromaius novaehollandiae (emu). RNAcentral's name for it is "lncRNA (ENSDNVG00000006195.1)". Lineage: Eukaryota; Metazoa; Chordata; Aves; Casuariiformes; Dromaiidae. The record is from RNAcentral.